Molecule: long non-coding RNA, 4134 nt
Organism: Hevea brasiliensis (rubber tree)
Lineage: Eukaryota; Viridiplantae; Streptophyta; Magnoliopsida; Malpighiales; Euphorbiaceae
Exons: 2
Source: RefSeq, a predicted model, not a curated record
UAUUCUUUUACUCUCUCACUUUGCAUUUGUCUUUUGGUAACCUUUUUGAGUUCACAAAUUUUGCCAACAUAUUUUUGGUAUCAGAACCAAAAAAAGCAUCUUGGGCAUAGAGAGUUAAAAAAGUGUGGUUCACCGUCCAUAAAAUAGCAGUAAAUGGUACAGCUACUUCAUCUCAACCUUUAAUUCCCAUAUUCAAAGGUGAUAGUUAUGAGUUUUAGAGCAUCAAGAUGAGAAUGCUAUUCAUGUCUCAAGAGCUAUGGGACCUGGUGGAGAAUGGGUAUGAUGACUUAGAUGAAGAGCAACGAUUGCGAGACAAUAAAAGAAAAGAUGCAAGGGCUUUAUUCUUUCUUCAACAAGCUAUCAUUGAUGAAAUUUUCUCUCGAAUUUCUACAGCAAUCACUUCAAAAGAUGCAUGGCAGAAUCUCAAAACAGAAUGUCAGGGCUCAUCAAAGCUCAUGAGGACAGGUUGAAUAGAUUAGAAGUAAAGAAAAUGAAAAAAGGGCAUUUCAAGUGAAAGGAGGAUCCUCUCAAACCACAAAAUCAGAUGACAAAGCACCAAGCAGAGGUGGAUUUUGUGGUGGAUAUCAUGGCUAAGGUCGUGAUGGAAAGGGACAAAGCAGACAAUCUAGCGAACAAGGUUAGUCCAAGAAUAAUGAGAGUUCAAUCAAGUGCAAUUACUAUGGGAAAUUAGGUCAUAAAGAAGCUGAUUGCUAGAUCAAGCAAAGAAAUGAAAGGACUCAUGCCAAGAGUUCAAUUGAUUGCUAUUACUGUGGGAAAUUGGGGCAUAAAGAAGCUGAUUGUUGGACCAAGUAAAGAAAGGAAGGGAAUCAAGCAAACUUUGCAGAUGAAGAGAGUAUGUUGUUUAUGGCUCAUUCUUAUGAUAAAAAUAUUAUAGAUGUUGUUUGGUUUUUGGAUAGCAGUUGCUCUAAUCAUAUGUCAGGUGCAAAAUAAUUUUUUAAAGAGCUUGAUGAGAUGCAUAAAUCAGAGGUGCGGCAGGGUGAUGAUAUGCAAAUACAAGUUGAAGAGAAAGGUACAAUUGCCAUCAAAACAGACUAUGGUAACACUAAGCUUCUUCAUGAUGUAUAAUUUGUUCUUGCUUUAGCUCAUAACUUGUUAAGUGUUGGGCAAUUGAUAGCUACUGGGUAUAUAAUUUUGUUUAAUAAUAAUUCAUGCACAAUUCCAGAAAAAAAUUCAGGCCACACCAUAUUUAAUGUUAAAAUGGCACAAAACAAAAUGUUCCCACUUGAAGUCUCUUAGUUUAAUAGUUCUGCCUUUGUUGUUAGGGAAACAGAGAGUCUAAAUUAUAGCAUUUGCAUUAUGGGCAUUUGAAUGAAAAUAUGAUUAAGGUUGUUGAGUUAAAAAGAAAUGGUGAUUGGACUACCUAAAAUUACUCUUUUGAAUUUUGUGAAGGGUGUGUUUUGGGAAAACAAAGUAGAAAAUCCUUUCCCAUAGGAAAAUCAAGGAGGGCUAAUAAUUGUCUUGAAUUGUUGCAUGCUGAUUUACGUUGGCCCAUGAAGUGGAAGUUUAUAUUUUUAGUUGCUUAUUGAUGAUUAUAGCUGCAUGAAUUGGGUUUAUUUUUUGAGAUCUAAAUCAGAAGCUCUUGCUAAUUUCAAGAAAUUUAAGGCACUUGUGGAGAAUCAAACAGGCAAUAGUAUCAAGUGUCUUCAAACUGACAGAGGUGAUGAGUUUAUUUCCAUUGAAUUUAAUGAUUUUUUUGUGAAGAAUGUGGCAUUCAUAGGGAGCUUAUUGCACCACAUACACCAAAGCAGAAUGGUGUCGUUGAAUGAAAGAACUGAACAGUAUUGGAAAUGGCUAGAAGCUUACUAAAGGCUAAAUGUCUUCCUAAUUCUUUUUGGGCUGAAGCAAUUGCAACAACAGUGUAUUUGUUGAAUAUCUCUCUUACAAAGGCAGUUUUGAAUAAGACUCCAUAUCAAGAUUAGAAAGGUACGAGACCUCAUAUUAGCCGCUUAAAAAUUUUUUGGUUAUGUAGCCUAUGCUUUAGUAAGCUCUCAAUAUUCUCACAAACUGGAUGAAGAAUCUGAAAAAUGUAUCUUUGUUGGCUAUAGUCCUCAAUCUAAAGCAUAUAGGCUGUAUAACCCUUUAAGUGGCAAGAUUAUUAUUAGCAAAAAUAUGGUGUUCGAUGAAGAUGCAAAAUGGGAUUAGGGAAGCUCUCAAAACAGUGAUCAAAUUCCAGCUUUAGAAGAUGUUUCUGAUCCAUUGCCUUCACAUUCAGAAAAUUCCUCUCCUUGGGGUAGUAGUUUUUCAAGUCCCAUCAGCUCUAGUACCUCCUCAUCCAAUGAAACUCCCAAGGAAAUUUAAGUCCUUGAGAGACAUUUAUUCAUCUUGUUCUUUUGCUUUGUAUGUUUCAAAUCUAAUAAUCUAUGAGGAAGCACCAAAAAUGAAAGAAUGGUGCACUACUAUGAAAGAAGAGAUGGCUGCAAUUCAGAAAAAUCAGACUUGGGAAUUGGUGGACUUGCCUGAAGGGAAGAAUGCAAUUGGGCUUAAGUGGGCGUUCAGAACAAAGUACCAUGCAGAUGGAAAUAUACAUAAACAUAAGGCUAGAUUUAUGCCAAAGGGGUAUGCUUAACAACAAGGCAUUGAGUUUGAAGAAACAUUCUCUCUUGUUGCUCGCUUUGAAAUAGUAAGAGUUUUGCUUGCCUUAGCUACUCAAUUAUUUUUGCCUGUUUUUAAAUUUGAUGUAAAAUUUGUCUUUUGAAUGGAGAUUUGGAAGAGGAAGUUUAUGUUUUUCAACUAGAAGGUUAUUCAACUAGAAGGUUAUGUUGUAAAUGGCCAUGAGGAUAAAGUUUUCAGGUUAAAAAAAGCUCUUUACGGACUUAAAUAGGCUCCACGAGCAUGGUAUAGCAAAAUUGACACCUACUUUCUUGAAAAUGGAUUUGAAAGAAGUGAAAAUGAACCCACUUUGUAUGUAAAGAAGCAAGGGAAAGCUGAUUUUCUAGUGUAUGUCUUUAUGUUGAUGAUAUUAUUUAUUUUGGGUCACGUGAGUUUCUUGUCGCUAAUUUUAAGUCUUCUAUGAUGAAGAGAUUUGAGAUGACAGAUUUAGGUUUGGUGCAAUAUUUUCUUGGGCUCGAGGUGAAACAGGGUGUAGAUGGAAUUUUUGUUUCCCAACACAAGUAUGCAAUUGAUAUGCUCAAGAGGUUCAACAUGCUGAAUUGCAACAAAGCAUCAACACCAAUGAAUUUGAAUGAGAAAUUGCAAUCUGAAGAUGGGAUAGAAAUGGCUAAUGCAACAUAUUUUCGGAAGUUGAUUGGUGGAUUAAAUUAUUUGACACUUACACGUCCUGACAUUGCAUUUCCUGUUAGUAUUAUGUCCAGGUUUAUGCAUAGCCCAACAAAACAACAUCUUAGAAUAGCUAAGAGGAUCUUGUGAUAUAUCUCCGGGACUUCUGAUUGUGGAAUUUGGUCCUCUAAAGUAUCAGUAUUUGGGUUUACUGAUAGUGAUUGGGCAGGUCAUUGGAUGAUAGAAGAAGUACCACAGGCUAUAGUUUCAGUCUUGGUUCAGGUGCAAUCUCAUGGAGUUCAAAGAAGCAAAAAUACCAUUGCACUUUCAACUUCAGAAGCAGAGUAUAUUACUGCAACUUCAUCAGCAUGUCAACCUAUGUGGUUGAGAAGAAUUUUAGUUGAUUUAAGCCAAGAGCAAUAUGCAGCAACAAAAAUCUUUUGUGAUAACAAAGCUACAAUUGCAAUGACAAAGAAUCCAGCCUUUCAUGGAGAACAAAGCAUAUUGAGGUCCAGCAUCAUUUCAUUCGAAAAUUGGCAGCAAGUGGAACAAUUUCCUUGGAGUUUUGCAGCACAAAUGAACAAGUUGGAGACCUGUUUACCAAGUCUUUGUCCCAGCUCAAGCUGCACAAUUUUUGAUAUAUCCAAUUUUGAAUAAGGGGGAGCGAUAGGAGUAAAGAGUGAUUCAAAAUUAGUUUGCAAUGUGUCAAAAAAAGGUAUUAUGUUUCAUUGUUUCUAACUUUCAGGAUUAUUCUGUUUUUUUGGUUUUGGUAGUGGUGAAUAAAUUAUCUGCAUAUUCAACAGAUUUUUAGUUCUUAUUUUUCAUUCAAGUUGUUGCUGUAAAGCCUAUAAAGACUCCACUUUCUCUAGCAAUAAUAUGAUCACUUUUACCGUCUCA